Molecule: ribosomal RNA, 495 nt
Filed under: Grubeulepis mexicana
Lineage: Eukaryota; Metazoa; Annelida; Polychaeta; Phyllodocida; Eulepethidae
Description: partial 16S ribosomal RNA
Rfam family: Bacterial large subunit ribosomal RNA
Source: RNAcentral
UGCCUCCAGAUCCAAUAUUGAAGGUACAUCCUGCCCAGUGAUCUAAUCUCAACGGCCGCGGUAUCCUGACCGUGCGAAGGUAGCAUAAUCAUUUGCCUCUUAAUUAGUGGCUAGAAUGAACGGACAAACGAGGUUAUUACUGUCUCCUUUAUAUCCAAAUAAAUUAGUCUUCAGGUGAAGAAACCUGAAUCCAAAUAAAAGACAAGAAGACCCUGUCGAGUUUCACUCUAAUCUAAUUCAUACAAUUAACACCAAUAGAUAAAGUUUGGUUGGGGCGACCAAGGAAUACAAAAAUCUUCCUAACGCUAAAGAAUUAUACCUCAUUCAAACUUGACCCUAAUCCUAGAUCAAUAAAAUAAACUACCGCAGGGAUAACAGGCUUAUCUUUCUAAAGAGCCCAAAUCGAUAGAAAGGUUUGGCACCUCGAUGUUGGCUUAGAGUACCCAAACGAUGCAGCCGUCGUUUACGGUUAGUUUGUUCAACUAUUAAAACUCU